Molecule: long non-coding RNA, 3467 nt
Filed under: Homo sapiens (human)
Lineage: Eukaryota; Metazoa; Chordata; Mammalia; Primates; Hominidae
Description: HSALNT0195192
Source: RNAcentral
CAGAGAGCUCGCUAGUCCCUUUCACCAUGUGAAGAUGUGGCAAGAAGGCACCAUCUCUAAGCCAGAAAAUGGACUCUCACUGGGCACUUUGAUCUUGAACUUCCCGGCCUCUGGAACAUCUUCUCAGGUCAAAGCUUCCAUCUCUCCCUGUUUCAUGAACUUAACUUCUGAGGAGUACUGGUCAGGUGUUCUGUAGGAUGUCCACCUGCUGUUGGUCUGAUGCUUUUCACAUGAGGAUUCUGGGGUGAUGCUUCCCAAGAAGAAGACCUGAGGUGAAGCAUCUUUCUCGUCUCCCAGCCUCCUGCCUCCCAAAUGGUAUUGACCUUGAUCACUCAGCUAAGGUGGCAGCUGCCAGAUUGCUCCAUUGUAGAGCUAUAAUUUUCAUCCUUUUCUUAUUUUUAGGGAGGUGGGGAGGAGAGAAAAGGAAUAUUAAGCUCCACCUCCUGGAUGGGGUUGUAUUGACUUAUGUUAUUUGGGUUUCUUCUGUAAGGAAGAUUUGUCUCUUUCCCCCCUUAAUUCCUUUGGUAAAAAUAAUUUCUCAACAUCUGCUAAAUAGCUUUCUCCAAGAUGGAUGAAGACAUGCUCCAUCAAUUGGUACUUGCCUCAAAGUCGAGUUUUAUUCAAGUUAAACUGAAGUCACUGCAAAUUCAAGCAAGAUCCCAAUAUCGACUAAGUUCCUUCUCAGAAGUCCUCCCCCAGGGUCAGGCAGAGGGGGAACUGGGUGGUGUUUCAGAUGUGGCUUUUCAAGCUGUGGCCAGAUUGGCAGCAUCAGCAUCACCUGGUAGGUUACAAAUGCAGCAACUCAGGCCCCACUUGGACCUCCUGAGUCAGACUCUGCAUUUUAACAUGACUGUGACUUGUGUGCAUGUCUAUAGUUUGACAAGUGCUGUCUUAGAACCCUAGAGCCUCUGGGAACAGAGACAAGAAGGCGAUCUUCUCCAAGCAGGGUGAUCUCUGUUGCCAGCGUACCUGCCUUGGUUCACCCCUCCUGCAUUUGUCCAGGUGGAAGAUGAUUAGGAAGGGCAGAGGAGAGGCAGGAACAGCAGAUGGCUCUGAGACGAGCCUGGGGCUGGAGGGUUGAGUGAGGUGGGCAAAGAAGGGGAGAGUGCUGGCAUAGCUGAUGGAUGACUGUGGUACCUGAGAUGGCCCUGGGGAGUUGGAUGAGAGCAGGGCCAGAGUGAUUGAUGGGCUGGGGUGGAGAGGCUGUGGAACAGCUGUAAAGAAAAAAAGGCUCUGGGUUUGGGAGUCUGCUAUGGGUGGCAGCAAAACCCAAGAGCCAUGAGAGAGAAAGUCCUCUUUCUGCAGCAGUGCUCACAAAGUCGAGUCUUGCUCUGUUGCCUAGGCUGGAGUGCAGUGGCAUGAUCUCAGCUCACUGCAACCUCCACCUCCCAGGUUCUAAGUAAUUCUCCUUCCUCAGGCUCCCUAGUAGCUGGGAUUAUGGGCACAUGCCACCACACCUGGCUAAUUUUUGUAUUUUUAGUAGAGACAGGGUUUCACCAUAUUGGCCAAAGCUGGUCUCAAACUCUUGACUUCAAAUGAUCCACCUGCCUUGGCCUCCCAAAGUGCUGGGAUUAUAGGCAUAAGCCACUGUGCCCAGCCUCGAUUCUCUUUAGAAGGUAUUCUUUUAUGGCAUCAAGUACAUUCACAUGUUUAUACAACCAUCACCAUCCAACUCCAAAACCAUUUUCAUCUUGCAAAACUGAAAUUCUGUACCCAUUAAGUACUAACUCCCCGUUCUCCCUCCCCCCUCAUCCCUGGAAACCACCAUUCUUUCUCUGAACUUGGCUACUCUAGGUGCCUCAUGAGUGGAAUUAUACAGUCUCCAGCCUUCCGUGAUCUUUCCAGCUUCAUAACUGCCUUCUGACAUGGAUGAAGCAGGAAAUGUUACUGCCUCAGGGAGAUGAGGGGAGGGAGGGAGGGUUAUGGGGGAAGUGACUUGCCCUGGGUCUCACAUCUAGUGAGUAUAUAGCACACUCAAUAGAUUCAGGAAGCCCAGAGUCCUUCCUGGGUCUGCUGCUGUGUUAGGUCAUUCUUGCAUUGCUAUAAAGAAAUAUCUGAUACGGCUGACUCUCUUUUCAGACUCAGCCCGCCUGCACCCAGGUGAAAUAAACAGCCUUGUUGCUCACACAAAGCCUGUUUGGUGGUCUCUUCACACGGACGUGAGUGAAAUUUGGUGCCGUGACUCAGAUCAGGGGACCUCCCUUGGGAGAUCAAUCCCCUGUCCUCCUGCUCUUUGCUCCAUGAGAAAGAUCCACCUACAACCUCAGGUCCUCAGACCGACCAGCCCAAGGAACAUCUCACCAAUUUCAAAUCUGGACCCCACUGAAAAUUGGACUGUUCAACUCACCCAGCAGCCACUUCCAGAGCCCCUGGAACUCUGGCCCAAGGCUCUCUGACUGACUCCUUACCAGAUCUUCUUGGCUUAGCGGCUGAAGACUGAUGCUGCCCGAUCACCUCGGAAGUCCCCUAGACCAUCAUGGAUGCCGAUCUUCAGACAGGAAUGUCAGGCCUCUGAGCCCAAGCUAAGCCAUCAUAUCCCCUGUGACCUGCACGUACACAUCCAAAUGGCUGGUUCCUGCCUUAACUGAUGACAUUCCACCACAAAAGAAGUGAAAAUGGCCUGUUCCUGCCUUAACUGAUGACAUUAUCUUGUGAAAUUCCUUCUCCUGGCUCAUCCUGGCUCAAAAGCUCCCCUACUGAGCACCUUGUGACCCCCACUCCUGCCAGCCAGAGAACAAACCCCUUUGACUAUAAUUUUCCUUUACCUACCCAAAUCCUAUAAAACGGCCCCACCUCUAUCUCCCUUUGCUGACUCUCUUUUCAGACUCAGCCCACCUGCACCCAGGUGAAAUAAACAGCUUUGUUGCUCAAAAAAAAAAAAAAAAAAAAAAAAAAAAGAGAAAUAUCUGAUACUGGGUAAUCGAUAAGGAAAGGGUUUAAUUGGCUCACAGUUCUACAGGCUGUACAGGAAACGUAAUAGCUUCGGCUUCUGUAGAGGCCUCAGGAAGCUUCCAAUCAUGGCAGAAGGCAAAGGGGGUAGCAGGCAUCUUACAUGGCAGGAGCAGGAGCAAGGGAGGGUGCUACAUACUUUUAAACAACCAGAUCAAGAACUCACCAUCACAAGAACAGCACCAAGGGGAAAUCCACCCCCGUAAUUCAAUCACCUCCCAUCAGGCCCCACCUCCAACACAGGAUUACAAUUGAACAUGAGAUUUGGGAGGGUCACAGAUACAAACCAUAUCAGCUGUGGAACAUUCUGUUCCACCUACCCUCAACCCCCUUUUCCUCGGUGGUGUGUUGAAAAGAGGGCUUGGGCUGGAAACAAAAGGAAUGGGAUUUAAGGGCUCACAUAGGUGGUGGAGGGGACCAUCUCUGAGAUUAAGAUCCAGACAGGGGAAUGAAAGAUUAAAACUUUGAAAUAUCCCUAGCACCUGCCUUGGGACCUAUAAUAAAAAGAUGCUUGGUCA